AGCAGCCGCGGUAAUUCCAGCUCCAAUAGCGUAUAUUAAAGUUGCUGCAGUUAAAAAGCUCGUAGUUGAAUUUCGGGAUCAAUAUGUUGGUCGUGCCUUGGUACGUACCAGCUUAUUGAUUUCUCCCUUCUGAUGAACCAUGAUGCCAUUAAUUUGGUGUCAUGGGGAAUUAGGACUGUUACUUUGAAAAAAUUGAGUGUUUAAAGCAGGCUCACGCUUGAAUACAUUAGCAUGGAAUAAUGAAAUAGGACAUUUGAUUCUAUUUUGUUGGUUUCUAGGAUCGAUGUAAUGAUUAAUAGGGAUAGUUGGAGGCAUUAGUAUUCAAUUGUCAGAGGU
RNAcentral lists this ribosomal RNA (336 nucleotides) under uncultured Glomeromycotina. RNAcentral's name for it is "SSU rRNA". It matches the Rfam family "Eukaryotic small subunit ribosomal RNA", at positions 569 to 912 of the family's 1831-position model. The record is from RNAcentral. Lineage: Eukaryota; Fungi; Glomeromycota.